RNAcentral lists this transfer RNA (70 nucleotides) under Marmota monax (woodchuck). RNAcentral describes it as "tRNA.Thr". The record is from RNAcentral. Lineage: Eukaryota; Metazoa; Chordata; Mammalia; Rodentia; Sciuridae.
GGGAUGCAGCUCAGUGGUAGAGCGCUUGCCUAGUACAUGCGAGAUGCUGGGUUCAAUCCUCAGCAUUACA